This 35-nucleotide ribosomal RNA is filed under the name Zelkova serrata. Its description in RNAcentral is "partial 25S ribosomal RNA". Lineage: Eukaryota; Viridiplantae; Streptophyta; Magnoliopsida; Rosales; Ulmaceae. The record is from RNAcentral.
GCGACCCCAGGGUAGGGGGGGGCUCCCCCUGUAUU